CCUACGGGCGGCAGCAGUGGGGAAUAUUGGGCAAUGGGCGCAAGCCUGCCCCAGCAACGCCGCGUGAGGGAAGACUGCCCUAUGGGUUGUAAACCUCUUUUGUCAGGGAGCAACGCCGGCUACGUGUAGCCGGACUGAGAGUACCUGAAGAAAAGGCAUCGGCAAACUCCGUGCCAGCAGCCGCGGUAAUACGGAGGAUGCGAGCGUUAUCCGGAUUUAUUGGGUUUAAAGGGUGCGUAGGCGGAAUGCCAAGUCAGCGGGAAAUUCGCGGGGCUCAACCUCGCUCCGCCGUUGAAACUGGCGUUCUUGAGUUGGCGAGAAGUAUGCGGAAUGCGUGGUGUAGCGGUGAAAUGCAUAGAUAUCACGCAGAACUCCGAUUGCGAAGGCAGCAUACCGGCGCCCAACUGACGCUGAAGCACGAAAGCGUGGGGAGCAAACAGGAUUAGAUACCCCGGUAGUC
This 460-nucleotide ribosomal RNA is filed under the name uncultured bacterium. Its description in RNAcentral is "partial 16S ribosomal RNA". It matches the Rfam family "Bacterial small subunit ribosomal RNA", at positions 338 to 795 of the family's 1533-position model. The record is from RNAcentral.